AAAACAAUAGUUUUGGCGGGAAUCCGAGAAGCAAACACCUGUGAAAAUGCACAAAUGUGAGAAAAUCAAACAAAUCUGCUGGACGUAGUUUUUCGGAUUCUGCUCAAAUAUGAUAAAAUCGGAUAAAUUGAAAUCGGAUAAAAGCGGACCCGCGUAAAAUAAAUAUGCUUUAUGAGCUUCGGUUUUGUUUUAGUAAAACAAAAGUAUAUAUUGUAAUAAGUAGGUAUAUAUCUAUAACAAAAGGGAUUAUCAAAAAUUACAUGCGAUGGACCGAUCAGAUCAAUCGGCAGUUAGCGGCUGUUUGCAUGAGUGUACCAGGCUCACGAAAAACUGGGAGGAGUGGCGAUUGCUCGUGAGGCGUGAUAACAUCUGACCACAGCAAUGAUGCCGGAUGACGACCACGACCGCUCUGACAAGAGUGAUACGACAUACGAAUACAAAGUUGUCAACUACCGCAAGUUAAUUCGUUUUAUUUGGAUAAUUUUUCCCCUUUUACACGAUACCUUUGCCACAAAAUUUGUUCGGUCCCAUAAAAUAAACCAAUACAACUUUAACAAAUUUA
This is a long non-coding RNA of Bombyx mori (domestic silkworm), 562 nucleotides long. RefSeq lists it as uncharacterized. Lineage: Eukaryota; Metazoa; Arthropoda; Insecta; Lepidoptera; Bombycidae. The transcript has 2 exons. The record is from RefSeq and is a predicted model, not a curated record.